This 945-nucleotide ribosomal RNA is filed under the name Farysia itapuensis. Its description in RNAcentral is "LSU rRNA". It matches the Rfam family "Eukaryotic large subunit ribosomal RNA", at positions 38 to 965 of the family's 3401-position model. Lineage: Eukaryota; Fungi; Basidiomycota; Ustilaginomycetes; Ustilaginales; Ustilaginaceae. The record is from RNAcentral.
GCAUAUCAAUAAGCGGAGGAAAAGAAACUAACAAGGAUUCCCCUAGUAACGGCGAGUGAAGAGGGAAGAGCCCAAGAUUGAAAGCUGGCGUCUUCGGCGUCCGCAUUGUAAUCUCAAGAAGCAUUUUCCGCUUCGGACCAAGCCUAAGUCCCUUGGAAAAGGGCAUCGUAGAGGGUGAGAAUCCCGUACAUGGCUUGGAGCGCCCGAGGCUUUGUGAUAUGCAUUCUAAGAGUCGAGUUGUUUGGGAAUGCAGCUCAAAAUGGGUGGUAAAUGCCAUCUAAGGCUAAAUAUUGGGGAGAGACCGAUAGCGAACAAGUACCGUGAGGGAAAGAUGAAAAGAACUUUGAAAAGAGAGUUAAACAGUACGUGAAAUUGCCAAAAGGGAAGGGUAGGAGGUCAGAGAUGCGGCGUGGGAUUCAGCCUUGCUUUUGCUUGGUGUUUUUCCCUCAUUGCAGGCCAACGUCGGUUUUGGGCACUGGAGAAGGGUGAGAGGAAUGUGGCACUCUUCGGGGUGUGUUAUAGCCUCUCACUGGAUACAGCGACCGGGACCGAGGAACGCAGCGUACUCGAAAGAGCGGGCCUUCGGGCACCUUUACGCUUAGGGCGUUGGCAUAAUGGCCCUCUACCACCCGUCUUGAAACACGGACCAAGGAGUCUAACAUGUAUGCGAGUCUUUGGGUGGCAAACCCGUAGGCGCAAUGAAAGUGAAUUCAGAUGGGAUCCGCAAGGUGCACCAUCGACCGAUCCUCACGUCUUUUAAGUCGUGGAUUUGAGUAAGAGCAUGCCUGUUGGGACCCGAAAGAUGGUGAACUAUGCCUGAAUAGGGCGAAGCCAGAGGAAACUCUGGUGGAGGCUCGUAGCGGUUCUGACGUGCAAAUCGAUCGUCAAAUUUGGGUAUAGGGGCGAAAGACUAAUCGAACCAUCUAGUAGCUGGUUCCUGCCGAA